Molecule: ribosomal RNA, 253 nt
Filed under: uncultured bacterium
Lineage: Bacteria
Description: partial 16S ribosomal RNA
Rfam family: Bacterial small subunit ribosomal RNA
Source: RNAcentral
UACGUAGGGGGCAAGCGUUGUCCGGAAUCAUUGGGCGUAAAGAGCGUGUAGGCGGUCCGGUAAGUCGGCUGUGAAAGUCCAGGGCUCAACCCUGGGAUGCCGGUCGAUACUGCCGGACUAGAGUUCGGAAGAGGCGAGUGGAAUUCCCGGUGUAGCGGUGAAAUGCGCAGAUAUCAGGAGGAACACCGGUGGCGAAGGCGACACACUGGCUCACUACUGACGCUGAGGCGCGAAAGCGUGGGGAGCAAACAGG